Phalaenopsis equestris is the source of this 1066-nucleotide long non-coding RNA. RefSeq lists it as uncharacterized. The transcript is spliced from 4 exons. The record is from RefSeq and is a predicted model, not a curated record. NCBI's taxonomy places the organism in Eukaryota, Viridiplantae, Streptophyta, Magnoliopsida, Asparagales, Orchidaceae.
AGAGGAUUCCAUUAAUUGUGCUGAAUGUAGAUUGAGCUUCUUCUGAAAAGAACUGAUACAACUAAAAUCUGCGCCUUCCGUUUUCCUGCUCCAUUCACUAAAACUCGAAGGUCACAUCGAAAUCCUUUCUCCUUGCUCUACUCUGAGCUCCGGUCCCGCUCAAUUCACAGAAAGCGUCACACAUUUCUCCUUGCCCUGCUCCACUUUUUUACCGAAGAUUGAUGAUAUGCUUCAGAAUUUAAAGCAAGAAGUGGCCAACCAAGAUUCCAAGCACCGGAAGCCCCUCUCAGAGAAUAACUUCAACGAUAGAAGAGAACACAUAUUUGUUAGUCGUGUUUAAAUAUGGUGGAUAUAGAAUAUUGGAGUCAUGUUAAAAAUCAAGCUAGAAAAGCUAUGGAGGUGGAAAGUAUAACAGAUAGGAUACAUGGAACGAAGUGGAGCUGAAAUGGAGUGAAGCAGAGGCGAAAUGGAGAAUCUUGGAACCAACAGACUGGCGCCUAGGCCCCAACCUUUGGUUUCCAAGACGCUCCACCCAAGAGCCAUGGCGCCAGCUUCGUGGGCGACUAGGCUCCAGAACCCAGUCGGUCAAACCAAGAGGUCGGCACUAAGGCGCUGGCCAGUUCCUAGGUUGUUUUCUACAGUUACUUUAGCAAGACUUGGGAAGUUAUGGGAUGGAUUUAAGCUGUUUGAGGGAGCAUUGGAAUGCAUUUUGAAGCUUUGGGAAGUGAAGAAAGGUAGAGGAGUUGUAGUGUAUAGUUAGGACUUUGUAUUUUCCACUUUCUUAGAGAGGUUGGAGAACAUUUGGAGGGAAUUCUGUAAGGGGAUAUACUCAGCACAUGUGUGACCAAUCUUGCUUUGUACCAAUCAAUGAUUCCAUGGAUCGACGCAUAUUAUCUUUUAUGUCAAUUUACUAUCUAGAAUAGUAUGGUUGAUCGGGGAAGGAACCAAUGUUCAUGUUCCCUGACUUUGUAAGGCAUCAAACUCUUCAUUCAUGGCCUCCCACCAGUGUGAAUGCUUGUUGGCUUCAUUGAAGUUAAGUGGUUUAGUUUCAUUGGCAAUGGAAUGA